RNAcentral lists this transfer RNA (68 nucleotides) under Coracopsis vasa (Greater vasa parrot). RNAcentral describes it as "tRNA-Thr". It matches the Rfam family "tRNA". Rfam says of the family: Transfer RNA (tRNA) molecules are approximately 80 nucleotides in length. The record is from RNAcentral. Lineage: Eukaryota; Metazoa; Chordata; Aves; Psittaciformes; Psittacidae.
ACUCUAAUAGUUUACAGAAAACAUUGGUCUUGUAAGCCAAAAGACGAAGGUUGCUCCUUCUUAGAGUC